AUUGAACGCUGGCGGAAUGCUUUACACAUGCAAGUCGAACGGCAGCACGGACUUCGGUCUGGUGGCGAGUGGCAAACGGGUGAGUAACAUAUCGGAACGUAUCCAAUAAUGGGGGAUAACUAAUCGAAAGGUUGGCUAAUACCGCAUACGCCCUACGGGGGAAAGCAGGGGAUCUUCGGACCUUGCGUUAAUGGAGCGGCUGAUAUCUGAUUAACUAGUUGGUGAGGGAAAGGCUCACCAAGGCGACGAUCAGUAGCUGGUCUGAGAGGACGACCAGCCACACGGGAACUGAGACACGGUCAAGACUCCUACGGGAGGCAGCAGUGGGGAAUUUUGGACAAUGGGCGCAAGCCUGAUCCAGCCAUUCCGCGUGAGUGAAGAAGGCCUUCGGGUUGUAAAGCUCUUUCGCAAGGGAAGAAAACUUACUUUCUAAUAAAGAGUGAGGUUGACGGUACCUUGAUAAGAAGCACCGGCUAACUACGUGCCAGCCGCCGCAGUAA
Molecule: ribosomal RNA, 500 nt
Filed under: uncultured bacterium
Lineage: Bacteria
Description: partial 16S ribosomal RNA
Rfam family: Bacterial small subunit ribosomal RNA
Source: RNAcentral